Oreochromis aureus is the source of this 1544-nucleotide long non-coding RNA. RefSeq lists it as uncharacterized. The record is from RefSeq and is a predicted model, not a curated record. Lineage: Eukaryota; Metazoa; Chordata; Actinopteri; Cichliformes; Cichlidae. The transcript is spliced from 5 exons.
GUCCAUCCUCUCCCUGAUCAAAUCGAUCGAUUCGGGACCUUGUGAAUCUGAAUCGAAUCGAUUCUAGAAACAGUUAUAUCGUGAUGACUGGCAGGAGGCGAUCUCACCCUGUGUUUCUCUGCCUGUGGUAGAGGUGGAACCAGAUCAAGCGGAGCUGAUUCUUGAACAGCCUCAAGUCAGAGCUGGAUUGACCUUCUGUCACCAGGUACUGAUGAGCCCGCUGUGGAAAAACAUCACUGAUGAUGUUCAUGAAUCCCCAGCUGACUCUGGUAACCUUAAUACAGCACAGAAAAAAUGUCACAAUAAUCAUUUUAUGUUGUGAUUAUUGUGAUAAUAACAGAAACAGAUGCAUCUAUGUCAUUAUCUUUGAGCUUUUACACUUAACAUAAUUAUAAAAACAUGAGUAUAAAAGGUGUUAAAACUCUGAUGCCAUCUUGGAAUACUGCACUUUGUUCAUGUCAUUACAACAUUUCUCUCUUUCUAAUCAUACAUCUAGAUGUUAUGUCAACACACAUUUAAUCUACAUUAUAAGAGUGCCUUUGUGAUAAAUGUGUCUUUCAUUCUUAAAUUAACUGGUUAAAUAUUUAAUCUAACUAAACCCUAAAGAUGGAGUCAGAAGACAACAGUCACCUGAAGGGGCUGAAAAUUGUAAAGACCCUACAGAACAAUCAGUAAAUAGAACCUGUACGCCGUGUCCCGUACGCCAGAAAGCUGCUCUACCAGGAGCUGCAGUCCGUGAACGUCAUCCCUCGACUCGAGCUGUCGCGCUACAGCGAGUGAGCAGGACAAGGACAGAGAUGUGUUGGGUGGAGACGAGGUUGUGCUCAGUGUGCUGAGGUGAAGCAUCCAAACCACACGGCCUGUUCUUCAAUCCGGGAUCGUGUCCCAAAUCAGAGCUGCGGAAGGGUAAGCGUCACAGUGAGUGUGCUGCAGCUGAUGUUGACCUGAAGAAUCGUGUCUCGCAGGUACAGUCUGCAGUCUAUGAAGUGGGGCUCCUGCUGCUCAGGUGUUCUCACUGAAGUCCGUUUCACCUGAUGAGAGGAGGCAGCUCUGACUUGAGGCUGUUCAAGAAUGAGCGCCACUUAAUCUGGUUCCACCUCUACCACAGGCAGAGAAACACAGGCCUGGACUCUUUGUUGGCCAGACAAAAUCAGAAACGGAAAUCAUUGGUUUUCACAACUGGGUCCAGUUCUACCUGCAAAGGAUAUAAGGCCAGGGAGCAUGAUUUGUGGUGUGGCAGCCAUGGGUUGAGCCAGCCCUGCAAACCCUGUGGAUGAACGAUGCAGUGGACAGUGGGAGGAAGCAUCCUAAAGCUCUCUUUGCAGACCAGCCUGUGUGAUUCUCCACUCGCCGACCAGAAAAGACAAACGGCAGGUCUCAGUUGCAGCACCUCAUCCAUCCAUGUCUGAUCUUGCAUCGGCAGAUUCAGCAACACAGCCAGAGGCUUCCUGUAAUCUAUUACAGUUGUUAAAAAAACGGUCCAGGAACAGGUCACUCAGGUUAAUCCUGUAUAAACAACUGUAAAUAUUGUUUUUCCUUCUUUA